This is a long non-coding RNA of Clupea harengus (Atlantic herring), 188 nucleotides long. RefSeq lists it as uncharacterized. The transcript is spliced from 3 exons. Lineage: Eukaryota; Metazoa; Chordata; Actinopteri; Clupeiformes; Clupeidae. The record is from RefSeq and is a predicted model, not a curated record.
ACAACAACAACAACAACAGCAACAGCAACAACAACAGCAAUAGCAACAGCAUCAACAACAACAUAUCUAUCAUCCUCAGGGCCAACCAUAGCAGCACUUACCCAUGAAAAGUCCUCAAGUCCUCCACACCAUCACCAUACCGCCCUACUUGCCACCAUACUGGUGGUGGCGUCUGGAGGGGGCCUCUU